AACCACUGAUCAGACUCUAGGUGGUAUGCAAGCUACACUGCGUGACCAAAAGUAUGUGAACCCCUGAACAUCAUCACGUCGUGUUCCAAAUUCACGGUCUUUAAAGGGUCUUCUCAUCUGAGCCAUUGGUGGCAUUAAUCUAGGCUCUGGGACCCUCACCUAUCCCCCAAGCGGAGACAGCAACCAUCCAGUAGCCGAGCGAGCUCACCUCGCAUGGGGGCCUGUUCUGGAGAUAGGUGCGGCUCCCACCCGUGUCUAUCCUUGCGACCUCUCACCAAUGUCUCCGCUGGGACAAGCCCUUUAAUAAGGAAAUAGUUUCCCCUAGAUAUUUUAAACACGAUCGGCCGGAUUUUCGAGCGUUCAGCCAGAAGUGCGUUACUCCAGUUGGGUGUUGAUGGGGUUGGAACUCCGUUAAAGGGGUUGCCUGGCCUAGGAGCAGACGAUGCCAACGGUCAGAAUCUGUGCCCAGUUUAAACAAACCCACUCACCGGUCUGCGGUUCUGUUCUUAUCCUUCAGGUUUCAGUCUCCACUGGUCCUGUGACUGCAGAACCCAGUCACUGGCCUCAGCGGUACACGUGCUAGAAGGCUACGUCCGGGACGUGCUUGUGAUCAUUGCUUGGUCGCACCAGUCACCAGAUGUUUUUGGUCUGGCAGAGAACAGAAGAGGCUUGGAAAGGGGGCGGCGGUGCGGCACAGGCGAGUGGGCUUUUCUGUAUUGGGGCCACUAGCAACUAUGCUGGACAACCCCUUUAAGGCUAGGGCUACACGACGACAUGUCGCGCGACAAUGUUUAUAAUGCUAGUCUAUGGUGGGUUUUCUGAAAUCAGCUGAUUGGCGGGGGUCUCGGACCCCCACCAAUCACGUACGGAUGACCUAUCAUGACAAUAGGUCAUCAAUAUUAAAAUCUCGGAAAAUCCCUUUAACUUGACAACAAGUGACCCACCUCCAUAGAACCAUCUUCCUUUUCCAUGGAAUGGAGUAUGAGGAGACCCCAACCCAUGGGCCUCUUCAGCGAGUGUCGUACCCGAGAGCCCUAUGGAUUUCGGCACUGGUUGGUCCUCUCCUGGACAUCUAGACCUGCCAGUAACUGCUCUUACUGGUGACCAGUUGGCAUGUGCGGGGCAGGAACGUGAUGAGCCGAGAGGUGGUUGGUGUCUUCACCAUGACCCGGUCUACUACUGGACCUCGUGGUAGGAGGGGGGCACAUACUUUUGGCUACAAGAAGCUCUAGGGCACCAGUAGAAGGCGAUACAUCCUAAGGGCAUCCUGGAAACACAGCAUCAUAAGGAUCUGACCCUCAGACCCCCGGUUGGGCUGGGAUUGGCCGCAUUGUGGGUGUCUGAACGAGGCCUAGUUAGUAUUGGGCUCGCCUGUUAAAUGUCUGCCAUGUCUCGGUGGGGGCGCUGGAUGGUCGUGGAGUGAUAAGCUGCAUUUUAAUGAAGAUCGAUAUCACCCCCAAAAUGGCUGUCUCUGCCUGUACAUAGUGUGUAAAGAACCUGAUACAUGUUUUUAUAUCACCUGCUGCAGCUCUGGAUGUGACUGGAGUAUAGGCCACUAAUAAAGCUAAUUAUUGCCAGCAUUAUGUAUAUGGAAUUUAAGGAGCCGCUUAUCCAGUAA
This is a long non-coding RNA of Bufo bufo (common toad), 1618 nucleotides long. RefSeq lists it as uncharacterized. NCBI's taxonomy places the organism in Eukaryota, Metazoa, Chordata, Amphibia, Anura, Bufonidae. The transcript is spliced from 3 exons. The record is from RefSeq and is a predicted model, not a curated record.